GACGAACGCUGGCGGCGUGCCUAAUACAUGCAAGUCGAACGGAAGGGCCCUGAUUUUGUUGCGUGCUCGAUUGGCGCGCAGGGGAGUAACACGUGAGUAUACUCCCCUUGUCUUUCGGGUAACAUUAGGAAACUCCGGCGCUUAUCCGGUAUGAGCUUUUGCUGCACGGGGUGGGUUGGAAAGUUUCGGCGGUUGGGGAUCGACUCGCGGGUUAUCAGCUGGUUGGUCAGGUAGUGGCUUACCAAGGCUUUGACGGCUAGCCGGCAUGAGAGCGUGGACGGCGUCAUUGGGCCUACGAUAGGGCGCAGACUCCAACGGGAGGCAGCAGUCGGAAAUAUUGCACAGUGAGGGGGCGCCAGAUGCAGCAACGCCGCGUGCGGAAAGCCGGGCUUCGGGUUGUAAACCGCUUUCGCCUGUAACGAAGCGUGAGUGACGGUAAUGGGUAAAGAAGCCACGGCUAACUACGUG
This 468-nucleotide ribosomal RNA is filed under the name uncultured bacterium. RNAcentral's name for it is "partial 16S ribosomal RNA". It matches the Rfam family "Bacterial small subunit ribosomal RNA", at positions 28 to 507 of the family's 1533-position model. The record is from RNAcentral.